This 421-nucleotide ribosomal RNA is filed under the name Verrucomicrobiota bacterium. RNAcentral describes it as "Verrucomicrobia bacterium partial 16S ribosomal RNA". It matches the Rfam family "Bacterial small subunit ribosomal RNA", at positions 355 to 776 of the family's 1533-position model. Lineage: Bacteria; Pseudomonadati; Verrucomicrobiota. The record is from RNAcentral.
UGGGGAAUUUUGCACAAUGGGCGCAAGCCUGAUGCAGCGACGCCGCGUGAGGGAUGAAGGCCUUCGGGUUGUAAACCUUUUUCGCUCAUGGUCAAGCCGCAGCUUUGGGUUGUGGUGAGGGUAGCGGGUAAAGAAGCGCCGGCUAACUACGUGCCAGCAGCCGCGGUAAUACGUAUGGGGCGAGCGUUGUCCGGAAUUAUUGGGCGUAAAGGGUACGUAGGCGGUCUAUUAAGUCAGGUGUGAAAGCGUGAGGCUUAACCUCAUUAAGCACUUGAAACUGAUAGACUUGAGUGAAGGAGAGGAAAGUGGAAUUCCUAGUGUAGCGGUGAAAUGCGUAGAUAUUAGGAGGAAUACCGGUGGCGAAGGCGACUUUCUGGACUUUUACUGACGCUCAGGUACGAAAGCGUGGGGAGCAAACAGG